This 206-nucleotide small RNA is filed under the name Vigna angularis var. angularis. RNAcentral describes it as "Non-protein coding transcript". The record is from RNAcentral. Lineage: Eukaryota; Viridiplantae; Streptophyta; Magnoliopsida; Fabales; Fabaceae.
CUUGAAUUGAAUGGUUUCUCAAAUGUUUUCUUCUUUUUUGGUGGUGGGGACAAUGACUCAUGCUGUUCAAGAAAAAGGAACAUAAACAAAAGUGAUGUUGUUGCCUUAAAGAACAGACGAAAAAGAUACUAUACUGGAUUUAUGUUUUUGAUUGAUCGGGAAUCUAUAUCAGCAACCGCUAUAGGAGAUGCUUGCUACUAAAGAUG